Molecule: ribosomal RNA, 421 nt
Filed under: uncultured bacterium
Lineage: Bacteria
Description: partial 16S ribosomal RNA
Rfam family: Bacterial small subunit ribosomal RNA
Source: RNAcentral
AAUAUUGGACACUGGGGGCAACCCUGCUCCAGCCAUGCCGCGUGUGUGAAGAAGGUCUUCGGAUUGUAAAGCACUUUAAGCUGGGAGGAAGGGCUUUAGGUUAAUACCCUGAAGUUUUGACGUUACCAACAGAACACGCCCCCGCUAACUCUGCGCCAGCAGCCGCGGUAAUACAGAGGGUGCAAGCGUUAAUCGGGAUUAAUGGGCGUAAAGAGAGGGUAGGUGGUUCAGUAAGAUGGGUGUGAAAGCCCCGGGCUUAACCUGGGAACUGCUUUCAUAACUGCUGAGCUAGAGUACGGUAGAGGGUAGUGGAAUUUCCUGUGUAGCGGUGAAAUGCGUAGAUAUAGGAAGGAACAACAGUGGCGAAGGCGACUACCUGGACUGAUACUGACACUGAGGUGCGAAAGCGUGGGGAGCAAAC